AGCGAACGCUGGCGGCAGGCUUAACACAUGCAAGUCGAACGGGCACUUCGGUGUCAGUGGCAGACGGGUGAGUAACGCGUGGGAACAUACCUCUUGGUUCGGAACAACACAGGGAAACUUGUGCUAAUACCGGAUAAGCCCUUACGGGGAAAGAUUUAUCGCCGAGAGAUUGGCCCGCGUCUGAUUAGCUAGUUGGUGUGGUAAAAGCGCACCAAGGCGACGAUCAGUAGCUGGUCNGAGAGGAUGAUCAGCCACAUUGGGACUGAGACACGGCCCAAACUCCUACGGGAGGCAGCAGUGGGGAAUAUUGGACAAUGGGCGCAAGCCUGAUCCAGCCAUGCCGCGUGAGUGAUGAAGGCCCUAGGGUUGUAAAGCUCUUUUGUACGGGAAGAUAAUGACGGUACCGUAAGAAUAAGCCCCGGCUAACUUCGUGCCAGCAGCCGCCGUAAU
This 450-nucleotide ribosomal RNA is filed under the name uncultured bacterium. Its description in RNAcentral is "bacterial SSU rRNA". It matches the Rfam family "Bacterial small subunit ribosomal RNA", at positions 29 to 524 of the family's 1533-position model. The record is from RNAcentral.